Molecule: long non-coding RNA, 1333 nt
Filed under: Homo sapiens (human)
Lineage: Eukaryota; Metazoa; Chordata; Mammalia; Primates; Hominidae
Description: NUTM2A antisense RNA 1
Source: RNAcentral
UCUUUCCCAGGCUGUGGGUUGUGCCCUUCACUCCUUGCCCUCCUCCAUUCCCUGUCCUGAUCUGAACUCCUCUCCUUGCCACGCUCCCUCACCCUUAUCCCUCUGCACACUCCAAAAUUUUUAAAGAAAAAGGAGAGAGAGAAAAAAAAGUAAAAGAAACCCAAAAGGGAAAAUAUAGCUAAGGUGAACUGCAAAACCAUAUUCCUGCUGCUGUCAGUUUUGAUGCACUGAGAAAACUUCAGAGACCUAAGCUUUUUCCAGAGAAGAGAAGCUUUACUGGUGUUCCAGCCCUAAGUCUCGCUCUGUCGCUCAGGCUGGAGUGCAAUGGCGCGAUCUCGGCUCACUGCAAGCUCCGCCUCCUGGGUUCACUCCAUUCUCCUGCCUCAGCCUCCGGAGUAGCUGGGACUACAGGCACCCGCCACCGCGCCCAGCUAAUUUUUUUUUUUUUUAGUAGAGACGCGGUUUCACCGUGUUAGCCAGGAUGGUCUCGAUCUCCUGACCUCGUGAUCCGCUCGUCUCGGCUUCCCAAAGUGCUGAGAUUACAGGCUUGCAGGCGUGAGCCACCGCGCCCGGCCGAGUUAAAGUACUUUUUCUGGAACAAAGAAACUUAGCAUAAAUAGUUAAAAUAUUAAGAGUUGUAAUUAAGGGAAAUUUCAGCUCAAUAUGACUUCAACAGUUUAAAAAAUGUAUUAUUUCACAUAAGACCAUGGAGAGAGGAAUUGGAAGCCCCAGAAUUGAUUGGGUCAGAAAUUGAAAAUGAUACUAUCAGUGACCCAGGUUUGAAUGUCUCUCUCCACAGCAUUGACUUCACUAAUGGAUGUGACCUGGUUGGCAGCAGUAGCUUGCACAACAUGCUUGUUUGCAGUGAGUAGUAGAGAGAAGGUUUUGCUUUCCCAGAAACUCUGAAAAAGGUCAUCAAACCUAAAUUUCCUUAGCCUUCUUCUUCCAUGAGCAAAUCACUAGCAGAUGAUUGCUAGCAAGGUGUUACUAUUACAAUGAACCCCUAAGUGUCAGAGAAAGAGUUAGUUUGGGGAAAUAUCCUCUCCACCACAAUCUUAGUCAUUGAAGUCAAUUUAACAAUAUAUUGAAAUAUUUUUCUUAGAAGUUUAAAGUUCCAUUAAAGAGUAACAAUUACAGAAAUUAUAGGUAGCCUUUAGUUCUACAAGUGACAUCUCAAAAGGGAGAUGAUUCAUCAAUUUCAAACUUUCCCUGCAAGUAAUACUGGAUGAAAAUUAACUUGGCCAACAUAAUUAAUAAUCAUGGGUUAUUAAUUACUUCUGCAAGGUGGGUGUGCUGAUUUUAAAAGGCUUGAAUAAAACAUAAAUUUCCUUAA